Molecule: unclassified non-coding RNA, 980 nt
Filed under: Hevea brasiliensis (rubber tree)
Lineage: Eukaryota; Viridiplantae; Streptophyta; Magnoliopsida; Malpighiales; Euphorbiaceae
Source: RNAcentral
GACAACAGCGAGUUGAAGCCCAAGUAAGUAGUGUUAAUUUUAUUACUUUUAGGUAGUAUUGAUGUUAUAUAAUCAUCAUGGUUGGAGACCCUCAACCCCACAGGUUUAUUCUCAUGCAAAUAUUUGUGCAUUCAUUUUAUAAAAGCUCUAUUGUGGGAGAAAAUGAAACGAUAAUGGUCCGUGUUGUUAAGGCUAGUAAGUUUAUUCUUGUGCAAUUGUUUCCAAUUACAAUGUUUUUUUGUGAAUUCAUUAAUAAAGCUCUAUACUAGGUGAAAUGUGAUAGUGCAAUAGGAAAUCCUUUGGGGUUCAGAGGGGACUUGCAAUUAAAUGGACUGAUUUCUGACAUAGGGGCUAUGCAAUUGAUGCAAAUGCAAUUACACGCAACUCUUCAAAGGCUAUUCUAAAUGUUUUAAGAAUUUAUAUUUGGGGGAGCCAUGGUAAUUGUUGCAUGUGCAUGGCACAAUAUCUCAAAGUCUAUUUUUAAUUUCUUUCUUUUUUAAGAAUUAUGGGGUUAAGGCUAUCCUUUAUAUUUUGAUCUGGAAUGAUGGCAGUUCAAGAGCAUUCUUUGCGUCAUUUGUGGCUUACUUACUAUAGUUCUAAAGAAUUGAUAUAGUACUAGGAAUUUCAUUUGGGAUGACAAGUUUCUUUAGGAAUUUUUAAAAAUUGUGGUUAGCUGUUGGCAUAGUCAUUUGUUAAAUUUUGUUAUUUGGAACGUGUAUCUGUCAUUCAAUAGUGCUCUCGAGUUAUAUUGAAUCAUUCAUGCAGCUAUUGCUACUGCUACAGAUACAGAGCUACCACUACUGCUACUGCCUGUGUAACGUGAUGUUAUUGGCAUCAUCAUCAUACUUAUCAUCAUCAUCAUCUUGUUUUGACACCCUUAUGAUUUGCAUGCUUCAAUAAAUACUAUGUAACGAACAGAGAACUAUGUUCUAAAGUUCUCUUACAAUUUUAUGCAGGGACGAGAAGCUUUAUCUGCUUUA